UACAGGGGGGGCAAGCGUUGUUCGGAAUUACUGGGCGUAAAGGGCUCGUAGGCGGCCAACUAAGUCACACGUGAAAUCCCUCAGCUUAACUGGGGAACUGCGUCUGAUACUGGAUGGCUUGGAUUUGGGAGAGGAAUGCGGAAUUCCAGGUGUAGCGGUGAAAUGCGUAGAUAUCUGGAGGAACACCGGUGGCGAAGGCGGCAUUCUGGACCAAUAUUGACGCUGAGGAGCGAAAGCCAGGGGAGCAAACGGG
RNAcentral lists this ribosomal RNA (253 nucleotides) under uncultured bacterium. RNAcentral describes it as "partial 16S ribosomal RNA". It matches the Rfam family "Bacterial small subunit ribosomal RNA", at positions 524 to 776 of the family's 1533-position model. The record is from RNAcentral.